AAACAAUCCUAGGGAUGUUAAAUUUGUGUGCAACAUUAGUUGUCCAUGAGAAACACAUAUCAGAUAUUACACAACUUGGUGAAGGUUUCAUUUCUUGCAACAUUUCUUCCACUUGGGGUUGAAGUCUUCUCGUAGCAUCGUAGAAUUUCAGCCCCAAAUCCAUCGAUGGAAGCAUGUCGAAAUUUUCACACCCUUCAGGUAGUCCAGCCUCUACGCUUGGAAAGUAGAGGUGAACCACCUGAAUCUUUAGUCCUGUUUCAAUUGCAUGAUCAACAACAUUUUUGAAUCUAUUGGCGUUCAAGCGUGUAGUAAGGAUUGUGAUUAUAACUCCGCGUUGUGCCAGUAAUCGCGCCAUGUCAAUCAUAGGGAUCAUAUGGCCUUGUGCCAUGAAAGGAAGCAACACAAAAUGUGGCUGCAUUGUUGGAACAUCCAUAUUUUUAGUAGAAAGAUGAGAGGAUAUAUAUUUUUGUUAUACUAAUUAAGGUUGUUAUACUGGGUUUCAUUAUUGCUUUGUACAGUGAUUAUGUAACAGCACAGUUAGCAUUAUCUUAAUGUGUGGUUGGCAUUGUGAAUUUAGAUUUGUGAAGAUGCUGAUUGGAUUAUCAUUGUUGGAAAAGUAUAAGAUAAGAUUAAAUAGAGCAAAUGCCCAAAAAUAGUCCAUAAUUUUUGGGUUAAGAGCACCAAUAAUUACUCAGAGCCCUCCCACAAACUUUUACUUAUUUUUUAGCAUUGAUUUUGUCCAUAAUUUGAUGUAGAGAAUGUUCAAUCAUUUUUUUUUAUAUAUAUUUAGUAGAAAUAAUAACUCUAUGUAAGAGAAGGUGAGAAAAAAGACCCUUAUUUUGUUCAGUAAAAAUAUUAUUGCAGCUAAACUAAGAACGUAUCUUUGAUUGUCGAACUAUAUCAAUUUAUUGUUGACAUAUAACGUUGCAAGAAAAGAAAUUGUUGUACCACUGCGAUGUCAUAUGCCAACAAUGAAUUGAUAUAGUUCAACAAGUAAAUGUAGGUUCAUAGUUUAACUGUAAUAAUAUUAUCUAUUUAACGGAACAAGUUGUUCUAUAAGUUAUUAUUUCAUCUAAAUAUAUAAAAAAGACAAUUGAGCAUUCCAUACAUAAAAAUUUGGACAAAAUCAAUAUUAAAAAAAUAGGCAAGAGUGUAGGAGAGGGCUAAAAGUAUGCCAAUAUUACAAACAUAAAGGACUAUUAAUGCCCCAUGUGCAAACCAAAAAAUGACUUUAAGUCUUAACCCAAAGAUAAGAUAUUAUUUUGAGUUUUAUACAAGAUAGAUGUAGGAAUAAAAAUGGUCCCAUUCUACAAGUUCUGGCAGGAAGUGUAUCAUUCUUAUAAAAGAAAAUAAGAACUUAACACGAAUUAUUAAUCUCAUCCCUGAGUUAUUGGCACUUUUGAAAACACCACUUUACUUGACUAAUUGAACUUAAAUGCCCCCUCUCAUGCCAUACACGUAAACGUGUUAUUCACGCGAAAUUUUCUGCUGAUGUAGAAUAUAUAUAUUGUAUGACAUAAAAUCCAAAUCUUAAUACAUCGGUAGCCCAUUAAACUUGUCACAAAAUUUUACUCACCAUAACAAUAUCAAUAAAAUUAUAUGUGUCUUAUUAUAGUAACUGAACUUUUAACAUUACUAUAAAACUUGAUUUGAACUAUAAGGAAUACAUAGUUACCUCCUCAAUCAACCUUUUAAAAGAUUUGCUUGAUCUGUGACAUCUUGAAUCAAUUGUGUCAAGUUGAGGUAAGAGGAACCGCCUUCCUCCACAGUCCUCUUUGCCUUUUGUCCUAAUUCUUUUGCUCUUUUUCUUCUCAUUUCAGCUUCCAUUUCUUCACCCAUUACUUCUUCAAUCACCUUCUUAAUAUCAUCUUUGCUUACUUGUUUUCCCAAUUUUUCUUCUUCUCCAAACAUCACUGGAUUCUCCAUGCCGGCCUUCACUCCUGUCGCGAGUACACUCACUAUUAGCCUCUCAUUGCAAAACUGCUCAGCGAACAUUGGCCAAGUGAUCAUCGGCACACCAGCAGAUAUGCCUUCCAGGCUCGAAUUCCAUCCACAGUGCGUCAAGAACGCACCUAUUGAAGGAUGAGAUAAGAUUAGUACUUGUGGUGCCCAACCGUGGAUUAAAAGUCCUUGUCCUUUAACUCUUUCCUCAAAGUUUUCUUCCACUAGCCAUUUCUUGAACUCAUCUGACAUGUGUCGAACGACCCAAAUGAAGGGUCGUUUAGAUGAUUCUAACCCCAGCCCUAGCUCUACCAUCUGAGACGUGGAAAGACGCGAUAGGCUCCCGAGACAUACAAAGAGUACAGAGUCUUGUUCCCAAGAAUCAAGCCAUUUUAGGCACUUGUGUUCAUCAAUUGCAGCCUUGUUACCUCUUUCAACUUUGUCCUGUUUCUCUUUGUUACAGAGUGAAACAGGGCCAAUGGUCCAAAUUUUCUUGUUUUUCGCAUUCAUUAAACCCUCGACGUAUUCUUUUUCCAAAUCCUCAAAGCUAUUCACCACUAUCCCAUAAGCUUCAUCCUCUGCUUUCUUCAUUUGGUCCAUAAGCUCCUUCAUAUUUUCAUCUGUUGCCCUGAGAAUAUUCACAAGCUGAGCUUUGUUUAGUUCAAUCUUGUCGAAUAAUCCAGGCACUUGAAAGUAGUCUGUAUCAGACUCAAUCUUUUCUAACUCCUCCCAAUUUCUCAAAUUGUGUAAGCACAACAAAGAGAAGCAACACAUCCCAUGGAAAACAAUCCUAGGCAUGUUAAAUUUGUGUGCAACAUUAGUUGUCCAUGGGAAACACAUGUCAGAUAUUACACAACUCGGCGAAGGCUUCAGUUCUUGCAACAUUUCUUCCACUUGGGGUUGAAGUCUUCUCGUAGCAUCGAAGAAUUUCACCCCAAAUUCCAUCGAUGGAAGCAUGUCGAAAUUUUCACACCCUUCAGGUAGUCCAGCCUCUAAGCAUGGAAAGAAUAG
This 2952-nucleotide long non-coding RNA is filed under the name Solanum tuberosum (potato). RNAcentral's name for it is "long non-coding RNA (STUB_LNC010205)". Lineage: Eukaryota; Viridiplantae; Streptophyta; Magnoliopsida; Solanales; Solanaceae. The record is from RNAcentral.